AGCGGAAAGGCCCUUUCGGGGGUACUCGAGCGGCGAACGGGUGAGUAACACGUGAGUAAUCUGCCCUUGGCUUCGGGAUAGCCACCGGAAACGGUGAUUAAUACCGGAUACGACACAUCACUGCAUGGUGCGUGUGUGGAAAGUUUUUUCGGCCAGGGAUGUGCUCGCGGCCUAUCAGCUUGUUGGUGGGGUAAUGGCCUACCAAGGCUUCGACGGGUAGCCGGCCUGAGAGGGUGACCGGCCACACUGGGACUGAGACACGGCCCAGACUCCUACGGGAGGCAGCAGUGGGGAAUAUUGGACAAUGGGCGGAAGCCUGAUCCAGCAACGCCGCGUGAGGGAUGACGGCCUUCGGGUUGUGAACCUCUUUCAGCACAGACGAAGCGCAAGUGACGGUAUGUGCAGAAGAAGGACCGGCCAACUACGUGCCAGCAGCCGCGGUAAUACGUAGGGUCCGAGCGUUGUCCGGAAUUAUUGGGCGUUAAGGGCUCGUAGGCGGUUUGUCGCGUCGGGAGUGAAAACACCGGGCUUGAGGCGGUGCUGGCUUUCGAUACGGGCAGACUAGAGUGAUGUAGGGGAGACUGGAAUUCCUGGUGUAGCGGUGAAAUGCGCAGAUAUCAGGAGGAACACCGAUGGCGAAGGCAGGUCUCUGGGCAUUAACUGACGCUGAGGAGCGAAAGCAUGGGGAGCGAACAGGAUUAGAUACCCUGGUAGUCCAUGCCGUAAACGUUGGGCACUAGGUGUGGGGGACAUUCCACGUUUUCCGCGCC
Molecule: ribosomal RNA, 770 nt
Filed under: uncultured Nocardioides sp.
Lineage: Bacteria; Bacillati; Actinomycetota; Actinomycetes; Propionibacteriales; Nocardioidaceae
Description: bacterial SSU rRNA
Rfam family: Bacterial small subunit ribosomal RNA
Source: RNAcentral